Molecule: non-coding RNA, 181 nt
Organism: Paramuricea clavata
Lineage: Eukaryota; Metazoa; Cnidaria; Anthozoa; Malacalcyonacea; Plexauridae
Source: the annotation of a GenBank genome assembly
UUGUAAAGAUGACAAAACGUCAUAAAAUAUAUCCAAUUGUUUUCUAUACAGACGUAACUGAAAUAAUAUCAGUUAACUUGGUGGAUUAUUGACCAUUGUUAAAAAGUGUGUGUGUGUGUGUGUGUGUGUGUGUGUGUGUGUGUGUGUGUGUGUAGACAUUUAGCCCUCCCCCCCCAACUAA